RNAcentral lists this ribosomal RNA (253 nucleotides) under uncultured bacterium. RNAcentral describes it as "partial 16S ribosomal RNA". It matches the Rfam family "Bacterial small subunit ribosomal RNA", at positions 524 to 776 of the family's 1533-position model. The record is from RNAcentral.
UACGAAGGGGGCUAGCGUUGCUCGGAAUCACUGGGCGUAAAGCGCACGUAGGCGGAUUGUUAAGUCGGGGGUGAAAUCCUGGAGCUCAACUCCAGAACUGCCUUCGAUACUGGCGAUCUUGAGUCCGGGAGAGGUGAGUGGAACUCCGAGUGUAGAGGUGAAAUUCGUAGAUAUUGGGAGGAACACCUGCGGCGAAGGCGGCUACCUGGACAGAAACUGACGCUGAGGCGCGAAAGCUAGGGGAGCGAACGGG